CCCCCCCCCCCCUAAUCCCCUCACCCGCGACUCCCUUCAGUUUUCUGUCUUCUCCGGGAGCAUCGCUCCGAUUACCAUGGCAGAAACCUUCCUAUCAUGGCGCCUAGAUUCCAGGUGAAGGACCGCCUUCACCCUCAAACACCAUGGCACAGCUCGCCCCCCUGGAAGCCUCCCUGGAAGCUUUCUUCAGGAAAUUAUACAAGUGCGCUGGCAGUGGAAAUGCCAAGACCCUCAGUGAGAAAAUGCUAACCGACAUCAUAAAGGCAACAUAGCUGCUCAAUGAGGGUUAGUCUAGACCAUAAGGGGGUUCCUGAAGUGUGGGACCCUUAUGCCGGUGUUGGACCAGAACACUGAUGGCCCUGUGGACUUAAAGGAGUACAUCAACCCUGAUCGAAUCCCAUGCCUGCAUGUGCAAAUGGCUCCUGGAAGGAAUAUAUGAUUGCAUGUCAUUGAAGACCUGCCUGCUCCCAUUUGCUUUCUACAGCAUAUUAACAUAUUAUAAUGACUCAUUUGAUGGGGUUACUGCCUGUGUCUUCGCAUGCACACCCUAGCGCCGGCCUGCACACACACUGACACACACCAACAUACAGACACAAGGGUUUGCAUUACUCUUGACAAUCCGAUUCACAUGGAUUCUCUUGACAGAAAGAAACUGAGCGUGUUGCGAUGCCAGGAUAUUGGGAUUGGUUCCUGCAACAAUCAUACAUGAAAUGUUUGCAUGCAUGCCUGUAGAUCAUUUUUCAUGAAAGCGUCUGCUAAAUGGCAUAAAGUUAAUGGUAUAUAUAUAUAUAUUAUAGCAUUGUAUUGAUAAAUUAGAUCAAGAAUGCUGCUAAACAAAGCAUGUAAAAAAGAUGUGUAGGCUGUGGAUAAAUCUAUAUUUACUGUGUUAUGCAUGCCUACCAUAAUUCAAUCUGCCUGGAAUUUUUUGUAUGUUUUAAUUUACUGCUAAUAAAUGAGCAGAAGACUCAAACAAAUAUUGACUCUUGUAAAGAAAUUAGCUUUCCUCCCAUUAUUCAUAAACAUUUGUAAUCCCCGCUUAGUUUUCUUUUUUAUUCAGUUAAUAAAGCAGUAACAAUUUUAUUUGUAAUAUAUUAACUGUUGCUACAAAAAAUGUUUAAGGAACUGGUCGUGUUUUGGAGGAUCUAUCCCCUAAUGUCUCACGGGUGAAUUAAAAAUGACUGACUGAACAGUUAUACUGGGUCGUUAUGCAUGAUGUGAGGAAAUGGGUUGGGUGGUUGCAAUGUCAGUCAGUGGACGUCUUUUUGAUGUUCUGGAAUACAGCCAUUCAUUUUAGCGCCAGGAAGAAUUACGCAUGCUCAGACUAGUCAUUCUCACUCCGCCCCCUUAUAUUUCAGUGUACAGCACAGACCGAAACCCCCAUAAAAUCGUGGCA
Long non-coding RNA from Esox lucius (northern pike), 1393 nucleotides. The record is from Ensembl. NCBI's taxonomy places the organism in Eukaryota, Metazoa, Chordata, Actinopteri, Esociformes, Esocidae.